UCCUUUGUAGCUCAGUCGGUAGAGCGGGUGGCUGUUAACCACUAGGUCGGGGGUUCGAGUCCCUCCGGAGGAG
This is a non-coding RNA of Spirochaetes bacterium GWB1_27_13, 73 nucleotides long. Lineage: Bacteria; Pseudomonadati; Spirochaetota. The record is from Rfam.